This 253-nucleotide ribosomal RNA is filed under the name uncultured bacterium. RNAcentral describes it as "partial 16S ribosomal RNA". It matches the Rfam family "Bacterial small subunit ribosomal RNA", at positions 524 to 776 of the family's 1533-position model. The record is from RNAcentral.
UACGGAGGGUGCAAGCGUUGUUCGGAUUUACUGGGCGUAAAGCGCGCGCAGGCGGGCUAGCAAGUCAGAUGUGAAAUCCCGGGGCUCAACCUCGGAACUGCGUCUGAAACUGUUAGUCUAGAGUCUCAUAGGGGGUAGGGGAAUUUCACGUGUAGGGGUAAAAUCCGUAGAGAUGUGAAGGAACACCUGUGGCGAAGGCGCCUACCUGGAUGAGUACUGACGCUGAGGCGCGAAAGCGUGGGGAGCAAACAGG